This 514-nucleotide ribosomal RNA is filed under the name uncultured bacterium. RNAcentral describes it as "partial 16S ribosomal RNA". It matches the Rfam family "Bacterial small subunit ribosomal RNA", at positions 28 to 523 of the family's 1533-position model. The record is from RNAcentral.
GACGAACGCUGGCGGCGUGCCUAAUACAUGCAAGUCGAGCGAACAGAAAAGGAGCUUGCUCCUUUGACGUUAGCGGCGGACGGGUGAGUAACACGUGGGCAACCUACCCUAUAGUUUGGGAUAACUCCGGGAAACCGGGGCUAAUACCGAAUAAUCUCUUUUGCUUCAUGGUGAAAGACUGAAAGACGGUUUCGGCUGUCGCUAUAGGAUGGGCCCGCGGCGCAUUAGCUAGUUGGUGAGGUAACGGCUCACCAAGGCGACGAUGCGUAGCCGACCUGAGAGGGUGAUCGGCCACACUGGGACUGAGACACGGCCCAGACUCCUACGGGAGGCAGCAGUAGGGAAUCUUCCACAAUGGGCGAAAGCCUGAUGGAGCAACGCCGCGUGAGUGAAGAAGGUUUUCGGAUCGUAAAACUCUGUUGUAAGGGAAGAACAAGUACAGUAGUAACUGGCUGUACCUUGACGGUACCUUAUUAGAAAGCCACGGCUAACUACGUGCCAGCAGCCGCAGUAA